RNAcentral lists this transfer RNA (69 nucleotides) under Canis lupus familiaris (dog). It matches the Rfam family "tRNA". Rfam says of the family: Transfer RNA (tRNA) molecules are approximately 80 nucleotides in length. RNAcentral also lists the same sequence under 1 other name. Lineage: Eukaryota; Metazoa; Chordata; Mammalia; Carnivora; Canidae. The record is from Rfam by way of RNAcentral.
GCCUGGGUGGCUCAGUGGUUGAGCAUCUGCCUUUGGCUCAGGUCCUGGGUUCAAGUCCCACAUCAGGCU